This 495-nucleotide ribosomal RNA is filed under the name uncultured bacterium. Its description in RNAcentral is "partial 16S ribosomal RNA". It matches the Rfam family "Bacterial small subunit ribosomal RNA", at positions 30 to 507 of the family's 1533-position model. The record is from RNAcentral.
UGAACGCUGGCGGCGUGCCUAAUACAUGCAAGUCGAGCGACCAGAUGAGGAGCUUGCUCCUCUGACGUUAGCGGCGGACGGGUGAGUAACACGUGGAUAACCUACCUAUAAGACUGGGAUAACUUCGGGAAACCGGAGCUAAUACCGGAUAAUAUAUUGAACCGCAUGGUUCAAUAGUGAAAGACGGUUUUGCUGUCACUUAUAGAUGGAUCCGCGCCGCAUUAGCUAGUUGGUAAGGUAACGGCUUACCAAGGCAACGAUGCGUAGCCGACCUGAGAGGGUGAUCGGCCACACUGGAACUGAGACACGGUCCAGACUCCUACGGGAGGCAGCAGUAGGGAAUCUUCCGCAAUGGGCGAAAGCUUGACGGAGCAACGCCGCGUGAGUGAUGAAGGUCUUCGGAUCGUAAAACUCUGUUAUUAGGGAAGAACAAAUGUGUAAGUAACUAUGCACGUCUUGACGGUACCUAAUCAGAAAGCCACGGCUAACUACGUG